AGUCUUUUGCAGAUUUGGGUUAUGUUCAGUCAGUUCUGGGAAAUAAAACAGAAGUAGGUGAAGGAAAUAUUGUAUAUACGACAGCUGUUGUGAAAGUAAAGCCUCUAAUUUUAUUACAUUGGCCCACUACAUCAGAGAUGGAGGUUGGUGGUAUGGCAGUAGAUGUUGAACCUUCCCACCGAUACUCGGUUAUAUUUCAUUGGUAUGUGACAGGACACAGCAGGGGGACAGUCUGACACAAUGAUGUCCGACAUGGAAGUGCCCAUGAAGCAAAGGUGUGGAUUUGAAUUCCUCUAUGUGAAAAAAAAUAGCACUGACAUUCAUCGAUGCUGAAUGCUUGUGGAGACUAAGCAGUGGAUGUGACCACUGUGAUAUUGGGUGAGGUAGUGAGGUAGUGGGUGGUGCAUUGCAGCAGUGCCAACAGUGACAUGAAAGACAAGCCACAUUCCGGGCAGCCAACAUGUGAAUUCCCUUUCAAAAAAAGUUCAAGCUGUGGCCCUCAGAAGGUAAAGUGACAUUCACUGUCUUUUGGGAUAGAAGAGGGGUGAUUUCCUGGCACCUGGAUAAAGCAUCAGCUUUGACCACUACAUCCAAGAUGCUGACUAAGCUGAAGGCUCCUUGGAGAAUUGUCCUAGGACAGUAUAAGCCUGUUACAGGAAAUCAGGAGUUCAUCAUCAUAUCUGGUACAUAUUUUAAAUUUGUCACUAACUUUUAAUCUAUGAUUAAAGAGUCUGUUAUUACAAAUUUUAUGUGUAGAUCACAUUAUGUGACUUCAGUAUGAACCAGAAUGUUUAAUAAAACAUAAAACUGAGCUUCAGCUUUGCAGUUUUAACUACACUUAAUUUUUUUUACUCCCUAUUGAUUUAGAUUCUUCCCAGAUUUCAAACUUCCAUUUUUUUUCUUUCUUGUAACAUGGUCUUUUACUAUCUUCUAAGGAAGAUUAGAUCUUCAUGCUUAUCUCCCUUGAUGGGAAUUCUCUUGGUUGUUAUUAUAGAAGUUCUUUAUAGAUUUCCAGUAUGUGUAACAGUCUAACAAGUGUUCUUUAUUCUUUAGUUCCAUGAAUAUCAGAUCUAAUUAAAUUCAGUUGAAAGAUGAAACAACAGUUUUUUGCUAGUUUUUAAUCUCUACAGAGAAACUGCCUACAGCAAUUCUGCUUGGAAAAAAUAUGGAAAUAUUUUCACUGGCAUUUGCUGGUGGAAACCACUGAUUCAUUUCAUAGAAAUUAAUUUUGUUCAUUAAAGAACAAACAAAAAUAAAGGCUGUUACAUUUGAUCAUCAUUUGCAGGAGAGGAUACUAUAACUUGUGCCUGAGCAACAAGUUCAGAGACUCACCCUUGCUCUGUAUCUCACUAUGGAAAUAUCUGGCAAGUUGGACUAGAUUGAUUACGAGUCAAAUGAAUAAGCAACAAAAGCUGCAUAUGGCCAACCUUAUAAGAAUAAUGGCUUGUCAGCCAAAGAAAAUUUAUCUACCUUUUCAGUACCAGUGAAUUUGUAAUUAGUUUACUGUGUCCAGUUCAGGCACCCAGUCCCAGAAGAUGAUCUGGAAUGACAGAUACAUGGCCUGUUUGAUGUUGAGGGAACUGGGCUUCUUCAGUCUGGUGACAGAGGCUAAGGAGGACAGUUUAAUAGUUCCAUACAUGUAUUGAAAGGGAACAGAGCCAAAGAUAAUACACUGUACAUAAGCAGCCACAAGGUAGGCCAGCUUCAGCUUUAAUGUCAGGUGAAGUUCAGUCACUAGUGAUAGGGCAUUCCCAGAAAGAUGAUACAAUCUCUGUCCUUUGGGGUGUUCUAGAUCAAGUUAGACAAAGCCAUGACAGGGAUGAUGUGGUGCUGAGCCCUCCUGCUUUGAGCAGAAGGUUGGUUAGGGAGAGAACCAGAUGUUCCUUUCAAACAGCUCUCCCUCACCCACUGAGGUGAUUCCCUGCUUCGGCACAGAAUGUAUCCUCCCCUGAGCCGAGAGCCUCACAAAAACAUGCUGUGUUUUGGGGCCUGCAAGGUUGCCCUGCAUGCUGUCUGGUCCCCAGGCCAGGGCACGUCACUCUCUGUGAGGUGGCACUCCUCAGCGUGAUGUCACAAUGGCUGCCUCUUCCACCCCUGUGGCAGCGGUGGGAGCGGUGGCUCAGUCUCUUGUGAGAGGCGCAGGAAGAGGACCCAGAGAGAGCAUUGUGUCUAUCUGGAGAUAUCCUGCUGUGAUGGAGCGGCUGAGAGCCCUUCGAGGUCUCUUUGCCUGUGUGGGCUGCAUGCCCAGAUGUAGGCGUUGCAGGGAGAGAGGCAGGGCGGCAAGCCCUGUCCCCACCUGUGCCGUGACUUUGCUGCUACAGCGCCUGCAAGAUCAGGAGGGUGACCGAGCGCAGGCGUACUGUGACCUGGAACACGUCCUGUGGGAAGAUGACAGCCGCCCGCCGUGCGGAGUGGUGAACCGGCUGCUGGCUGAGGUGUCCCAGGACCUGACGGCAGCCCAGGGCGUGACAGGCAAUGUGAGGAUGGCUGCCAGCAAUGCCCUGGUGGCUCUGGCCCGGACACACUUCAGCUUGGUGAUGGCUGAGCUCCAGGGCCACCUGAAGGCCACAGGGGAGAUGUCCAAGGAGUUUGUGCUCAUCACCCUGAGCAAACUGUUCAGCUGCUACGCUCCACAGUGCAUCUCCUUCAUGUGGCAGACGCUGGCCGGCCUACGCAGUGUGGUGGGCCAGGUGAAGAGUGGCCAGACCCUGCAUGUUGCUUGUGCUGUUGUGAAACAAUGGUCAGAAGGAGUCAAGUUUCACUUGUCCUCUGGAAAGCAAUGCCCCUGGCCUGCCAUGGAGAAAGAGCAAAUCUAUGAGAAUCUUCACCAGCUCUUCUGCUCUGUGGUGAGGAACUGGCAGGACUGCAAGGAGGAAAAGGACAAAAAGGCCAUCCUCGGGGCUGUGGCUGCCAUGAUGGCUGUCCUCCUGCAAGAGGAGAUGCACCGAGAGCAAGUCUGGGAGCACCUCCUCUGGCUUGGGCACCUGUGUCAGGAGGUCCAAGACACCUUCAGGGUGGCCAAGAGCCUCAGUAUCUUCCUGGAGGCCUUGGAGGGAGUUGAGUGUGUUAUCCCCAAGGACAAGUUUCUGGCCAUCACCAGUGCUGUGUUCUACCAGCUCUCUGAUGAAACCAAGCAGCACAGCGAGACUGACAAAGUAGAGCUGACCCACUGCAUCCUGCUGCAGGCCCGGAUCUGCCCAGAGGAAACGGUCCUGUUUCUACAGUCGCAGCUGGGUAGUGAGAGGGAGGCUGGAUGCGUGGCAGCCCUGGGUCUGCUCGGUGCUCUGGCUCGCUCUGAUGAUCCUGUGAUGACAGAGAAGCUGCCCCAGGUUGCAGAGGCUGUGCAGUGUCUGUGCAGUGACCUCAGGAUCCGGGUGCGGAGGGCCAUUCUGCAUUUCAUCAAGGACAUGCUCAGUGCUAACGCCCGGAGCUGCUCAGCCUGGGAUGUGGUGGGGCACAUCUUCAGUGAGUUCAGCCGCACCAUGGGAAGAAGGGCAGCCGGAGACCUUUCUGCCCAGGAAGCCCAGGAAGAAGGAACUCUCCAAGAGCUGUGCAUGGACAUCCUGGGAUCACUGGAUGUCUCUGUGAGCGGGAUGUCCAAACUCCUGUGGCCCCGGCUGCUGCUGUACGUGGUGCCAGCCCAGUACACGGGCAUGCUGAUCCCAGUCUCCCAUUGCAUCCAAGCCCUGGCGCAGAGAGAGGAUCUGACAGAGCAGCAGAUAGAAGAACUGGAUUCCCAUUUUGUCAGCUCCAUAUUUCAAGGCCCAAUGCUGACUCCCCAGACACUGCUGGCACGCCUGUUGGUGGUGGCAGGGAGCCCUUUUGCAGGCAGCGAACUCCAAGCUGCUGCCUUGCUGCUUAUGCAAAACCUCCACAGCAGGAUCCACGGAGCUGUGGGGGCCAUAUGGGCUGCUGAGAUCCCCCUGCUGCUGCAGUACCUUGAAGGGAAAGAUGAGAGCGUCCUGGACUUUGCAGAGUGGGAGCACCAUCUGCUAAAGUUCCUGAGGGCAUCGCUGGAGACCGUGGAGGAUGAGGCCUGGACCGAGGCCCUGAGCUGCGAGUUGAGCCGGUGGUUGAGCAGCUCUCCCAGCGGCUCUGGAGAAAAGUCUUUCCUGUACAAGGCUCUGGGGACAGUGCUGGGAGCUUGUAAGGAAGUCCUCCACAUCCAAGAGAAGCUCCUGCAACACCUGGAGGAAGCAAACGCAGAGGAGCCAUCUGAGGCUCAGGGAAUGAUCUCUCUUCUCAGCCAUGCUGCUGAGAGCAACUUCCACACAGUCCUGGACACACUCACCAUGUUUGCAUCCAGGCUGUGCAAAGGCCAGAAUGCGAAGAUCUCCAGACACAAGAAGAUGGAGCUGGACAGCAGAAGAGCUCAGGCCACACGCAGCGCUCUCAUCCUCGCCCAUGGCAGCUUGGCACUGCGAGCCUCCAAGGAACAGCUGCUCGCCCACCUAGAGGGAGACAUUGUGGGCAACAUCCUGCUGCUCUACAGCUGCAGCUGCUGGGACUUGCAGAACAAGCUUGCGCUGGUGCAGAGCAUCACCGACUUGAGCUCUGCCUUCCAAGCUGUGGGUGACUCUGCCUGCUUUAACCUCUCCUUGAAGGGCAAGCUGCUGGAGAUCCUUAUGGACUUGCUGAAGAGGUAUUACUUGGGCACCCCUGUCUCCCCAGUGCCCCUCAAGGUGGUUCUGGCCCUGGAGCAGUUGAGCAAGCUGAAGCCAUCUUUAGAAAACAAGCACAUUUCUGAAAUGUUGGUUCUGUGCUGCAAGAACAUUGUGACACAUCCUUCAGCAGGGAUGAUGCUGAAGAUCAGGAAGUCACAGCAAGCAGCUCAGUACCUGCAGCUUCUGCAAACAUCGUUGAAAGCUCUGGCCAGGCUCAUGAUGGUCCUGCUUGAGACAGAGUCCAACCGUGGCUUCUUCCAGAACAUAGUCCAUGUCCUGCAGAGAUCUAUGACAUCAGACAACAUGUGGGAGCGCAAGAGGGCCCUGCAGACCUGCUCCCAGCUGCUGGCUGCUUGUGAAGAGCGUGGAAGAGGAGAUGCCUGCAAGCACUUUGGCUCCUUGGUGGGAUUGCUGGCACCUCUGACGUGUGACCCCAUGCCCACCUCCCGCCAGUUGGCUGUCACCUGCCUGAGCUCCCUUCUCCGAAUCCAAGCCAAGGUGACCAACAAAGCCAUCGAGACAGGAGACAUCAGGAGCCUGUGUGAGAGGCUGAAUGACUGCAGCACUGCCUGUCAGCUCCAGAACUCGUCCAAAAUCGCAAGGAUUGUGUGCAGAAACUUCCCCCUGGAACACACCACAGACUUCGUGAUGGCCAUCAAAGACACCUUCCAGAAGGCCAAAGGAACGCGUGUGCGUGCUGCUGGGAAGUGGCUGAUCACCUUUCUGCAGAUGUAUGGAAAGGACAUCUAUCGGGAUGAGCUACUGAUCCUGUACACUCUGCGCAGCUGCACGUUUUUCCCGCAGCAGAGCGCAUUCAUGCCUUUCGUGUUCCAGGCGGUGGUCAUCCUCACCCACUGUCAUGCAGAAGACACAAUUGACAACUUCUCCCGGCUGCCUAGGCCUACAGAAAGUGAGACGUGGAAGAGAAUAAUAGAGUUUUGUCUUCAACGGUGGAGACGGUAGAAGAAGAGAAGGGAAGGGAAGGGAAAGGAAGGGAAGUGAAGUGAAGCGAAGGGAAGUGAAUUGAAGCGAAGUGAAGAGAAAAGAAAAAAGAAGAGAAAAGGAGAAGAAAGGAAAAGAAGAAGGAAAAGGACAAGAGAAGAAAAGAGAAGAAAGGAAAAGAAAGGAAAGAA
This is a long non-coding RNA of Gallus gallus (chicken), 5797 nucleotides long. RefSeq annotates it as maestro heat-like repeat family member 2B 1. The record is from RefSeq and is marked validated. The transcript is spliced from 31 exons. NCBI's taxonomy places the organism in Eukaryota, Metazoa, Chordata, Aves, Galliformes, Phasianidae.